This 894-nucleotide ribosomal RNA is filed under the name Clavibacter michiganensis. RNAcentral describes it as "bacterial SSU rRNA". It matches the Rfam family "Bacterial small subunit ribosomal RNA", at positions 537 to 1430 of the family's 1533-position model. The record is from RNAcentral. Lineage: Bacteria; Bacillati; Actinomycetota; Actinomycetes; Micrococcales; Microbacteriaceae.
AGCGUUGUCCGGAAUUAUUGGGCGUAAAGAGCUCGUAGGCGGUUUGUCGCGUCUGCUGUGAAAUCCCGAGGCUCAACCUCGGGUCUGCAGUGGGUACGGGCAGACUAGAGUGCGGUAGGGGAGAUUGGAAUUCCUGGUGUAGCGGUGGAAUGCGCAGAUAUCAGGAGGAACACCGAUGGCGAAGGCAGAUCUCUGGGCCGUAACUGACGCUGAGGAGCGAAAGCAUGGGGAGCGAACAGGAUUAGAUACCCUGGUAGUCCAUGCCGUAAACGUUGGGAACUAGAUGUGGGGACCAUUCCACGGUCUCCGUGUCGCAGCUAACGCAUUAAGUUCCCCGCCUGGGGAGUACGGCCGCAAGGCUAAAACUCAAAGGAAUUGACGGGGGCCCGCACAAGCGGCGGAGCAUGCGGAUUAAUUCGAUGCAACGCGAAGAACCUUACCAAGGCUUGACAUAUACCGGAAACAUGCAGAGAUGUGUGCCCCGCAAGGUCGGUAUACAGGUGGUGCAUGGUUGUCGUCAGCUCGUGUCGUGAGAUGUUGGGUUAAGUCCCGCAACGAGCGCAACCCUCGUUCUAUGUUGCCAGCACGUAAUGGUGGGAACUCAUAGGAGACUGCCGGGGUCAACUCGGAGGAAGGUGGGGAUGACGUCAAAUCAUCAUGCCCCUUAUGUCUUGGGCUUCACGCAUGCUACAAUGGCCGGUACAAAGGGCUGCGAUACCGUAAGGUGGAGCGAAUCCCAAAAAGCCGGUCUCAGUUCGGAUUGAGGUCUGCAACUCGACCUCAUGAAGUCGGAGUCGCUAGUAAUCGCAGAUCAGCAACGCUGCGGUGAAUACGUUCCCGGGCCUUGUACACACCGCCCGUCAAGUCAUGAAAGUCGGUAACACCCGAAGCCAG